UAAGGAAUAUUGGACAAUGGGGGCAACCCUGAUCCAGCCAUGCCGCGUGAAGGAAGAAGGACCUAUGGUUUGUAAACUUCUUUUGUAGCAGAGAAAACCCUCCUACGUGUAGGAGGUUGAUAGUAUGCUAAGAAUAAGCAUCGGCUAACUUCGUGCCAGCAGCCGCGGUAAUACGAAGGAUGCGAGCGUUAUCCGGAUUUAUUGGGUUUAAAGGGUGCGUAGGCGGCUUUAUAAGUCAGUGGUGAAAUCCUGUCGCUUAACGACAGACGUGCCAUUGAUACUGUAGAGCUUGAGUACAGAUGCCGUUGGCGGAAUGUGUCAUGUAGCGGUGAAAUGCAUAGAUAUGACACAGAACACCGAUUGCGAAGGCAGCUGACGAAACUGUAACUGACGCUGAGGCACGAAAGCGUGGGGAUCAAACAGG
RNAcentral lists this ribosomal RNA (424 nucleotides) under uncultured bacterium. RNAcentral describes it as "bacterial SSU rRNA". It matches the Rfam family "Bacterial small subunit ribosomal RNA", at positions 355 to 776 of the family's 1533-position model. The record is from RNAcentral.